GGACCCGUAGUGUAGCGGUUAACACGUCUCCCUGUCACGGAGAAGAUCGCCGGUUCGAAUCCGGUCGGGUCCGCCA
This 76-nucleotide transfer RNA is filed under the name Candidatus Veblenbacteria bacterium. RNAcentral describes it as "tRNA-Asp". It matches the Rfam family "tRNA". From Rfam's summary of the family: Transfer RNA (tRNA) molecules are approximately 80 nucleotides in length. Their secondary structure includes four short double-helical elements and three loops (D, anti-codon, and T loops). The record is from RNAcentral. Lineage: Bacteria; Candidatus Vebleniibacteriota.